RNAcentral lists this ribosomal RNA (195 nucleotides) under Escherichia coli. RNAcentral describes it as "partial 16S ribosomal RNA". It matches the Rfam family "Bacterial small subunit ribosomal RNA", at positions 1 to 203 of the family's 1533-position model. Lineage: Bacteria; Pseudomonadati; Pseudomonadota; Gammaproteobacteria; Enterobacterales; Enterobacteriaceae. RNAcentral also lists the same sequence under 1 other name. The record is from RNAcentral.
AAAUUGAAGAGUUUGAUCAUGGCUCAGAUUGAACGCUGGCGGCAGGCCUAACACAUGCAAGUCGAACGGUAACAGGAAGCAGCUUGCUGCUUCGCUGACGAGUGGCGGACGGGUGAGUAAUGUCUGGGAAACUGCCUGAUGGAGGGGGAUAACUACUGGAAACGGUAGCUAAUACCGCAUAACGUCGCAAGACCA